UACGUAGGGUGCAAGCGUUGUCCGGAAUUAUUGGGCGUAAAGAGCUCGUAGGCGGUUCGUCGCGUCGGCUGUGAAAACCCGGAGCUCAACUCCGGGCCUGCAGUCGAUACGGGCGGACUUGAGUGUUGCAGGGGAGACUGGAAUUCCUGGUGUUGCGGUGAAAUGCGCAGAUAUCAGGAGGAACACCGGUGGCGAAGGCGGGUCUCUGGGCAACUACUGACGCUGAGGAGCGAAAGCGUGGGGAGCGAACAGG
Molecule: ribosomal RNA, 253 nt
Filed under: uncultured bacterium
Lineage: Bacteria
Description: partial 16S ribosomal RNA
Rfam family: Bacterial small subunit ribosomal RNA
Source: RNAcentral